AGAGUUUGAUUAUGGCUCAGGACAAACGCUGGCGGCGUGCCUAACACAUGCAAGUCGAACGGACCCUUCGGGGUUAGUGGCAGACGGGUGAGUAACACGUAGGUAAUGUACCUUCUUGCUGGGGAUACCUACCGAAAGGGUGGUUAAUACCGAAUGGUCUCGCGCUGCGGCAUCGCGGUGCGAGUAAAGUGUUUUAGCGCGAGAGGAUCAGCCUGCGGGCCAUCAGCUGGUUGGUGGGGUAACGGCCUACCAAGGCAUCGACGGUUAGCCGGUCUGAGAGGAUGAUCGGCCACACUGGAACUGAGAGACGGUCCAGACUCCUACGGGAGGCAGCAGUGAGGAAUAUUGCGCAAUGGGCGGAAGCCUGACGCCAGCGACGCCGCGUGAGGGAUGAAGGUUUUCGGAUCGUAAACCUCUGUUAAGCAGGGAAGAGAACGGACGGUACCUGCUGAGGAAGCAUCGGCUUACUACGUGCCAGCCGCCGC
Molecule: ribosomal RNA, 485 nt
Filed under: uncultured bacterium
Lineage: Bacteria
Description: bacterial SSU rRNA
Rfam family: Bacterial small subunit ribosomal RNA
Source: RNAcentral